GGAGACGUGGCCGAGUGGUCGAAGGCGCUCCCCUGCUAAGGGAGUAGACGGGCAACUGUCUCGAGGGUUCGAAUCCCUUCGUCUCCGCCA
Molecule: transfer RNA, 90 nt
Filed under: Pseudomonadota bacterium
Lineage: Bacteria; Pseudomonadati; Pseudomonadota
Also listed under: 1 other name
Description: tRNA-Ser
Rfam family: tRNA
About the family: Transfer RNA (tRNA) molecules are approximately 80 nucleotides in length.
Source: RNAcentral